This 512-nucleotide ribosomal RNA is filed under the name uncultured bacterium. Its description in RNAcentral is "partial 16S ribosomal RNA". It matches the Rfam family "Bacterial small subunit ribosomal RNA", at positions 28 to 507 of the family's 1533-position model. The record is from RNAcentral.
GAUGAACGCUGGCGGCGUGCCUAAUACAUGCAAGUCGAACGAAACUUCUUUAUCACCGAGUGCUUGCACUCACCGAUAAAGAGUUGAGUGGCGAACGGGUGAGUAACACGUGGGCAACCUGCCCAAAAGAGGGGGAUAACACCUGGAAACAGGUGCUAAUACCGCAUAACCAUAGUUACCGCAUGGUAACUAUGUAAAAGGUGGCUAUACUACCGCUUUUGGAUGGGCCCGCGGCGCAUUAGCUAGUUGGUAGGGUAAAGGCUUACCAAGGCAAUGAUGCGUAGCCGAAUUGAGAGGUUGAUCGGCCACAUUGGGACUGAGACACGGCCCAAACUCCUACGGGAGGCAGCAGUAGGGAAUCUUCCACAAUGGGCGAAAGCCUGAUGGAGCAACGCCGCGUGGGUGAAGAAGGUCUUCGGAUCGUAAAACCCUGUUGUUAGAGAAGAAAGUGCGUGAGAGUAACUGUUCACGUUUCGACGGUAUCUAACCAGAAAGCCACGGCUAACUACGUG